AGAGUUUGAUCCUGGCUCAGAACGAACGCUGGCGGCAUGCCUAACACAUGCAAGUCGAACGAUGCCUUCGGGCAUAGUGGCGCACGGGUGCGUAACGCGUGGGAAUCUGCCCUUAGGUACGGAAUAACUCAGGGAAACUUGAGCUAAUACCGUAUAAUGACUCCGGACCAAAGAUUUAUCGCCUGAGGAUGAGCCCGCGUCGGAUUAGCUAGUUGGUGAGGUAAAAGCUCACCAAGGCGACGAUCCGUAGCUGGUCUGAGAGGAUGAUCAGCCACACUGGGACUGAGACACGGCCCAGACUCCUACGGGAGGCAGCAGUGGGGAAUAUUGGACAAUGGGCGAAAGCCUGAUCCAGCAAUGCCGCGUGAGUGAUGAAGGCCUUAGGGUUGUAAAGCUCUUUUACCCGGGAUGAUAAUGACAGUACCGGGAGAAUAAGCCCCGGCUAACUCCGUGCCAGCAGCCGCGGUAAUUC
RNAcentral lists this ribosomal RNA (472 nucleotides) under uncultured bacterium. Its description in RNAcentral is "bacterial SSU rRNA". It matches the Rfam family "Bacterial small subunit ribosomal RNA", at positions 8 to 526 of the family's 1533-position model. The record is from RNAcentral.